Molecule: non-coding RNA, 2843 nt
Organism: Carica papaya (papaya)
Lineage: Eukaryota; Viridiplantae; Streptophyta; Magnoliopsida; Brassicales; Caricaceae
Source: RefSeq, a predicted model, not a curated record
AAGAUUGUCUUAGUUUAUGCAUUCUUCAAUUUGCAUACUCUUUUCUUGAGAACAAAUCUAGGGUAAUCUCAAUAUUGACUUCUUCUAAACCUGUAUGCAAAGAAAACAUUUUCACUUCAAAGUUGUUGCAAGUCCCAUUCAUGAUUGAUUGUACAUGGUACGAGAUCAUAGUCUUAAUUGGAUUGGUCAUAACACUUAGGUGACUGUCCACUAUUGAAUAUAUGAUAAGGUGUGUCUUAGAGAUGGUAAUUGGUCUGUACUGAGCACUUAGACCCGGAUCUGGUCACAUUUCAUAUUCAGACCAACAAGAAAAUCAUAGACCCAUUGCUUCUCGUGGUUUUUUCAAUUCGAAGGCCUGAUUGAAUUGGCUGCUUGGAAAUCUUGAUAAGAGUCGAGUUCAGCCAUAAGCCACUUAGUUCAGCAAAAUGUGGGGCAACAAUCAUCUCAACUUUUAGUUGCUUGCACCUAUUGUACAGGUCAUAUCUACACAUCAUUGUCAAUCUCGGAUUGUGUCUGGGAUGCAACACUCCGGAUUUUGUGGUAGCUUCUAGAAGCAAUUAUCUCCCAAGAAACUUGUGGCUGCACGAAUUGAUUAUAUAUAAGUGAAUUAUCAGAUUUCCACCGGAUAAUCAUAGGAUUUUUUCAACUGGCUAGUUUUAUUCCCUGUAAUGUACCCUUGUAGACCACAGGCUUGAAUAAAUAGUAAGCAAGACCCCGAUCUGCUAGAUAAUUGGUUCAUCAAGCUUCAGUAGGCUUAUCUGUAAUGAAGGGUUUUUUUUCCAGCGCAAUGAACCUACCAACCUUGACUUCUCCCUUUGCCACCUUAUCUUUAACAAUGUUUCUCUGCUUAUAGAUCAAACAAGAAGGCAAAAUGGUGACCCCCCAACUGUACCAACUGCCUCUGUGUACUGAAGAAGAUGACUCCCACAACACUGCAAGGAGGUAGAAUAUUAGCACCCACAAUCCCCUUCUGGAUGCAAGUGAGGAAUUUAUGUUCUCUGUCCAAGAUUAGUGUCUGAAUGCAUGACGUGCUGUCAUCUUUUGGCUUCCAACAAAGUGUCAGCAUUCUCUUUCCACACUCUUCCUUUAUGCUGCCAUUGAUGAGUUGGUGCUGUCUGUCCACCACUAGAACCUGAAAGCACUCGAGCCUCUUAGGAGAGAUGGUGCCAGCGGGCAUGCCAACACUCUUCUUUGGUCUAGUCCAUACAGGUUUUCCAUGAUUGUUAGUUGCCGGCAACUGCACUUGAGGGGAAUAGGAAGCAUGUAACGUCUGGAGGACUGCAAUAGUGUGAAACCCUGGGGAUGCUGUUUUGGGCAAGCAGGUCUGAGAGGUUGCAGUAAUGGCCAAUUACACUAAUGCCAUGUUGAGUAGAGAAUGAAACCAGAGCAGAAGAAUAAUCUUUUUGUAUAUCAUUGUUAUGGAUGUUUAAAGCAUAUAUAAAAGUUCUCCACACUUUGGAAACCUAGUUAUAGAUGGCUACAAAAAUUAAACAUGAGAUAAUUGGGGGACUUACUGUUUAUUGUUAAGAUAUGUACACUAUGGAAACUAGAAUAUUCAGGAUAUUCUGGCAGGAAUUGUAGGAUUAUCAGAUUCACAUAUGUUAUGGAAUGUAGACUCUAGUGCUGACUGAGAAGCAUAGAUAUAAAUCACCUGUAGGGCCUGUUGAAUGUUCUGUGAAUCAUUCAGGUAUGUAGGCAUUGAUGACAUCGUACUUAUGAGCAGGAUAUGUGCACAUUUAUUCGUCUCGAUUCAAAUAUUAUGGUAUUGGCAUCUUUUAGAACUGUAUUCAUUAUUGUCCAUUGAAAAAACAGGAGAUAUAUGAAUAUUUGCAUGAGGCACAUCUGUGCUUAUAUAUGCACAUUUAUUCAUCUAGGUCCAGAUAUUAUGGGUAUUGGCAUCUUUUAGAACUGUAUUCAUUAUUUUCCAUUAAAAAAACAGGAGAGAUAUGAAUAUUUGCAUGAGACAUUUGUGCUUAUUUAUGCACAUUGUAAGAGCACACCUUUUAUGCCCCUUUUUUAUGGUGACACCUUUUUUGCUCUUUGAAGUUAAGCUUGGCAGCCGUGAAAGUUAGGGGAUCUAUGCCAGUUAUUAUAGAUGAUAGUUUCUGGAUUUUUUCCUGUUUUCUAAUUCAAAGCAUGUAUUAUCCAUUUUGAUUGUGGCUAUUCGUUGUAGCAGGCAAAGGAAGCAUACACGCAAUCCUUAUAUAACUCUGUAACAGAACAGUACAAGUUGCUCAAAUCUGCCAUACACAGAAAAAAGGGACUUGAGGCAUCAUCACCAAGCAUUGCUUUGUCACAACCAUGGUCUUAGUAAUUUGUUUGUGCCUCUCUCCAUAUCUGGUGUUGGCUUUCUUUUUCCUGUAAUCCUGUAGCAACCUAAACAACCUAGGUAGAUGGUUCCCAGUACUGGCAUGGGAUCUCCUGUUUAUCAUCAGCCACUGAUGUCCAACAUGAGAGAUUGCCGUCACCUGGGUUUUCUCUUCUUGGUGAAUGCCAUUGCAUGGGAGUCGAACAAGCCAGAAAUUUACGACUUGCCAGUAGUUCAUAUCAGGUCGGUGCUGUACAUAUAUUAUUCCUAGGAAGAAUCGGAGCCAGUCAUUCAUGGGCAAUUACAUGUAUAUUUUUGGUUAAGUUUUAGAUGUCUUAGCUAAUUUGUCAAUUGUUAUUCUCCUCUGCUCUAUCUAUAGAUUGCUUGCAAUAAAUUUAUACUCAGUGGAUAAGAUUAGGAAUGCUGCUGCACAAACAAGCAUUUUUAGCAAGUAAUCAAGCAAUGGUACAGAUUUCAUUUGUUGAAAGUUGAAACUCUUGUUCCCCGAGUUAUAGAAUGCACUUUAUUUCGGGAA